AGUGAACGCUGGCGGUAGGCCUAACACAUGCAAGUCGAACGGCAGCACAGUAAGAGCUUGCUCUUACGGGUGGCGAGUGGCGGACGGGUGAGGAAUACAUCGGAAUCUACUUUUUCGUGGGGGAUAACGUAGGGAAACUUACGCUAAUACCGCAUACGACCUACGGGUGAAAGCAGUGGAUCUUCGGACCUUGCGCGAUUGAAUGAGCCGAUUUCGGAUUAGCUAGUUGGCAGGGUAAAGGCCCACCAAGGCGACGAUACGUAGCUGGUCUGAGAGGAUGAUCAGCCACACUGGAACUGAGACACGGUCCAGACUCCUACGGGAGGCAGCAGUGGGGAAUAUUGGACAAUGGGCGCAAGCCUGAUGCAGCCAUACCGCGUGAGUGAAGAAGGCCUUCGGGUUGUAAAGCCCUGUUGUUGGGAAAGAAAAACAGCAGGUGAAUACCCCGACGUUCUGACGGUACCCAAAGAGUAAGCACCGGCUAACUUCGUG
RNAcentral lists this ribosomal RNA (492 nucleotides) under uncultured bacterium. RNAcentral's name for it is "partial 16S ribosomal RNA". It matches the Rfam family "Bacterial small subunit ribosomal RNA", at positions 29 to 507 of the family's 1533-position model. The record is from RNAcentral.